CUUUAUUAAAAAAGACUGAUAUUUAAAGCAGGUCACUUAACAGGGGUUUCCAAAGAUGGGCAGCAGGGGUUUUGGUUGAGGGGACUGGAGGGAGACUACCGUUUCCAGGUCCUCCUCCCAUCAGCCCCUGCUGUAACAUACAGUAAUGAAAACCACGAGGACAUAAACCGUUACCUUUCUACUUCAAAAUAUACAACUUAGUCAGUUUUAAUAGCAAUGCUAACGAAUGGGGAGGAUU
Molecule: long non-coding RNA, 238 nt
Organism: Pelobates fuscus (common spadefoot toad)
Lineage: Eukaryota; Metazoa; Chordata; Amphibia; Anura; Pelobatidae
Exons: 2
Source: RefSeq, a predicted model, not a curated record